AUGAGCAUGAGGGAGGCUGGACAAAGGGUACAACCAAACAUCAGUAGAUUCACUGUGUCCACCAUAAUCCGAAGAUUUAGAGAAGAGAACAGAAUUGAAAGACUGCCACAUGGGGGUGGGAGGACUGGUAUGUUCUCCCCACACCAAGAGACCCUAAUUGUUGAUAUGGUCCGUGAGAACAGUGCCAUUAAACUGAGUGAAAUUCAGCAGAAGAUCAUUGAGGACCAUGUCAAUUUUGAGGGUAUCAACAGUGUCAGCCUCUCUACUGUUGAUCGUGUCCUCAAGCGCAAUAGACUGCGCAUGAAACAGCUAUACAGAGUGCCCUUUGAUCGCAACUCAGACAGAGUCAAAGAGCAAAGAUUCCAGUAUGUACAGAGGGUUUUUCAACUGGAUGCAAUGGAAAGACCCCAUGAAUACAUCUACAUGGAUGAAGCUGGGUUUAAUCUCACCAAAAGGAGAAGGAGAGGCCGUAAUGUGAUUGGCCAUUGGGCCAUUGUUGGUGUUCCUGGGCAGCGUGGUGGCAAUGUCACAUUAUGUGCUGCCAUCAGCAAUCAUGGGGUUGUCCACCAUCAUGCCAACCUGGGGCCCUACAACACUCACCAGCUCCUCAUUUUCCUCAAUCACAUGCGAGAUGCUCUGUUAGGGCAGCAGGAUGAGCAUCCCAUCUAUGUUGUUGUUUGGGACAAUGUGAGUUUUCACAGAGCCCUCCAGGUUAGAGAGUGGUUCAAUAUGAACCAAGGUUUUAUCAAUCUUUGCCUUCCACUAUACUCCCCUUUCCUAAACCCCAUUGAGGAAUUCUUCUCCUCAUGGCGGUGGAAGGUAUAUGGACGCCAACCUUACACCAGGGUAAAUCUCCUGCAAGCCAUGGGACUUGCCUGUGGUGACAUAGGUGUGGAGGCGGGUUUUUACCCCGUUGCCUGGCCAGACAAAAUGUGGCCUGCGAUGUGGAUGAAGUCCUGUGGCCUGACCCAGUACGGAGACAUGAUGCUGUGGCUGAGUAAUGCACUUAUUUCUUUAUUUUUGUACUUUAUUUUUACAUGGGCUUACUGUACACAAGUGGGAAAUGCAUAA
This is a long non-coding RNA of Cyprinus carpio carpio, 1071 nucleotides long. The record is from Ensembl. Lineage: Eukaryota; Metazoa; Chordata; Actinopteri; Cypriniformes; Cyprinidae.